GCUGAACAAUGUGAUGACGAUCCGGUGCUAAUAAAUGAGAUGGUUUUACCCUUCAAGCAGGUGUAUUCAUCACUCCAUCUGAUGUCCAGCAGUCUCUACAUUUGCCAGAGAACACAACUUAUAAUUCUUGACGUUAUUAGGCUCCAUGUUCUGGAUAAUGGGAAGUGGACAGAGAAAAACUCAGAAGCGGACAUGAGUGUUAUUCCUCAUUGCAGUUGGUAAACGGGGGACUACAAGACAAAAAAAAAAGUGAUGAAAGGCCAUUCCUACAGCUGGUAUCUGAACCUUCAAACUGACUACAAGGAUCCUGUCAUGCAUUAAAA
Molecule: long non-coding RNA, 323 nt
Organism: Onychostoma macrolepis
Lineage: Eukaryota; Metazoa; Chordata; Actinopteri; Cypriniformes; Cyprinidae
Exons: 4
Source: RefSeq, a predicted model, not a curated record